AUGUUGGACCCAUUGUAUAAAUA
RNAcentral lists this non-coding RNA (23 nucleotides) under Arabidopsis thaliana (thale cress). The record is from RNAcentral. Lineage: Eukaryota; Viridiplantae; Streptophyta; Magnoliopsida; Brassicales; Brassicaceae.